GAUCCCCCUCGAGCAGGCAUUGAACUGAAGCGGUAUGCUCGUUAUAUUAUUAUUAUUUUACAAGAACAACGUGAGGAGAGCAUGCACAGCUUUUGUUUAUUGCUGUCUGUGUGUAUUAACAUCUCUAGAACGUUAGAUGCAAACAGGGCUCUCAAGUCUCACGGCGUUCAGCCUUCACACGCCACACCUUGUAUUUCUCACGCUGAAAAUAAAACAUUCUUCCCAUAUAAAAACAAUGGAUGAGGCAAAGGCAGGGACGUUCUCUGCCGGAAGUUCAUACAGGUAGCUGUCUCGAGUUUUUAGGUGUGCUCAACUUCACGCAGCAAUGCAAGAACCAAAACGCACAUGACAUCAAAGUACCUCGAGAAAUAUUCGGGAAAUCAUACGGAGGAGUUUGAUUUCAAAUCGCUCUCGCGCUGUUCUAAUGUCAUCCACUUGUCACGCGGAGUUUGUUGGAAGAGCAAGAUCCGAUGAAUACGAUGUGUAACACAGGACACGCUCAACACCAGCAUGACCAGAGCCAGAAGCAAUGAUGCAAUGUUACGUCCAUCCCACAGAGAUUCUACUAAAGAUGACAUCACCAGGGCCACUUAUGUUUCAACCAAUGGGUGUCAGAGAGGGGGGCAACUUUGGCUAUAUUUGUGCAUGGAAUUUAAACAUAAUGAAGGGUCACAGGGAGCAGCAAAGGUUUAUAGGUACUCUUGAAAAUCAAAUAAAGCUGUACAGCCUCUCGUUCCCCUGAGGAUGCAGAGAGAGAGAAAAUCUUCCCUUUGCUUUUCUUCAAGGUUGUGCGGUGUUAUUAUUCAUACCAGAAAUCCGCAUUCAAUGUCACUCUAUUCGUCACAAUGUAUGUUUCUGAUGUAACUUCCAUAUUCUCUAAAAUAAAUAUUUCACCCAAAAAUGAACACUUUGUCAUUAUUUACUCUCAUGCAA
Molecule: long non-coding RNA, 933 nt
Organism: Paramisgurnus dabryanus
Lineage: Eukaryota; Metazoa; Chordata; Actinopteri; Cypriniformes; Cobitidae
Source: RefSeq, a predicted model, not a curated record